Molecule: ribosomal RNA, 2648 nt
Filed under: Salmonella enterica subsp. enterica serovar Derby
Lineage: Bacteria; Pseudomonadati; Pseudomonadota; Gammaproteobacteria; Enterobacterales; Enterobacteriaceae
Description: bacterial LSU rRNA
Rfam family: Bacterial large subunit ribosomal RNA (bases 812-2648)
Source: RNAcentral
AGUCCGAGCACGUUGAAACAUCGCUGACACAUCUUUGCGGAUCGCAGGAAAAUAUGGCCUCGCUGGACGAUCUGAAAGCGUUGCAGAGCGUUAUCGGCACGUUGCAAUGGCCGACGACAUCGUCCUGGGAUUAUGUGUCGCAAGAUGAAGGUCAAAGCAAUAAGGUCUACUGUUCAUUUAACGAAACGACCGGCCAGACAACCUGUAAUCGUGAAAAAUCGACGACCUCGGGCUUAGGCUCGUGCCGGGUGCCGUAGUGAAUGGGGCCGGGAGCGCCUUUGAAUGUUGGGUGACGCAUUGCGUCGCCCAACCUGGGUAUCCCUUGCGGCUGGCGUUGUUCCGGUAGCGAUGCAUUUUUACGUUUUUGUAUUCACGGAAUGAACUGCAACGAAAUGGACCUUUCUCAGGUACGUCAGUGAAAUCGAAAAAGUGUGUCGGUUUUUUAUUCUGGCUGCUGCUAUGCGCCCUCAGUUUAACGCCUUUCUUCGCGCAGGCCGUGCGAAGCAGCGGCGCAUGGCAGGAACUCACUGAGCAAACUGCGGCUAUUAACGGCACUCCGCCGCAGGCCGACAGUGUAACGAUCCCGGUAUAUCAGGGUAGCGUUCAGUUGCGAUCUGAUGCGGCGAAUCCUGUAGCUCGUUAGGCUGGCCGACGCAGGGCUAUCCCUGUUUAUCUAAAUCAACCUCGAGCGGCGGCAUGUAUUGCGGCGUGGAUGAGAAUACCAGGCAACAAAACUGCGCCAUUAAGCCGGCAAGCACAGCAGGUUAUGCGACGUGUGUGGAGUAACGUAUUACGCGUCUGGCGCUACCUAUAUACUCUAAAUAAUUCGAGUUGCAGGAAGGCGGCAAGCGAGCGAAUCUCCGGGAGCUUACUAAAGUAAGUGACUGGGGGGAGGGAACGCAGCCGCAGCACAUGCAACUUGAAGUAUGACGAGUAUAUUUAAAAUAACGCCAGGUGUCGCAUGAUAAUUACCCCUUUUUGCUUCGCGCAUCUAUUUAUCUCAAUAUAUGAAAUCAUUAAAUGAUAUUCACAAUAUAAAUAGUUGGGUAGGGGAGCGUUCUGUAAGCCUGUGAAGGUGGCCUGUGAGGGUUGCUGGAGGUAUCAGAAGUGCGAAUGCUGACAUAAGUAACGAUAAAGCGGGUGAAAAGCCCGCUCGCCGGAAGACCAAGGGUUCCUGUCCAACGUUAAUCGGGGCAGGGUGAGUCGACCCCUAAGGCGAGGCCGAAAGGCGUAGUCGAUGGGAAACGGGUUAAUAUUCCCGUACUUGGUGUUACUGCGAAGGGGGGACGGAGAAGGCUAUGUUGGCCGGGCGACGGUUGUCCCGGUUUAAGCGUGUAGGUGUGUGUUCCAGGUAAAUCCGGUUCACUUUAACACUGAGGCGUGACGACGAGGCACUACGGUGCUGAAGCAACAAAUGCCCUGCUUCCAGGAAAAGCCUCUAAGCAUCAGGUAACAUCAAAUCGUACCCCAAACCGACACAGGUGGUCAGGUAGAGAAUACCAAGGCGCUUGAGAGAACUCGGGUGAAGGAACUAGGCAAAAUGGUGCCGUAACUUCGGGAGAAGGCACGCUGACAUGUAGGUGAAGUGAUUUACUCAUGGAGCUGAAGUCAGUCGAAGAUACCAGCUGGCUGCAACUGUUUAUUAAAAACACAGCACUGUGCAAACACGAAAGUGGACGUAUACGGUGUGACGCCUGCCCGGUGCCGGAAGGUUAAUUGAUGGGGUCAGCGCAAGCGAAGCUCCUGAUCGAAGCCCCGGUAAACGGCGGCCGUAACUAUAACGGUCCUAAGGUAGCGAAAUUCCUUGUCGGGUAAGUUCCGACCUGCACGAAUGGCGUAAUGAUGGCCAGGCUGUCUCCACCCGAGACUCAGUGAAAUUGAACUCGCUGUGAAGAUGCAGUGUACCCGCGGCAAGACGGAAAGACCCCGUGAACCUUUACUAUAGCUUGACACUGAACAUUGAGCCUUGAUGUGUAGGAUAGGUGGGAGGCUUUGAAGUGUGGACGCCAGUCUGCAUGGAGCCGACCUUGAAAUACCACCCUUUAAUGUUUGAUGUUCUAACGUGGACCCGUAAUCCGGGUUGCGGACAGUGUCUGGUGGGUAGUUUGACUGGGGCGGUCUCCUCCUAAAGAGUAACGGAGGAGCACGAAGGUUGGCUAAUCCUGGUCGGACAUCAGGAGGUUAGUGCAAUGGCAUAAGCCAGCUUGACUGCGAGCGUGACGGCGCGAGCAGGUGCGAAAGCAGGUCAUAGUGAUCCGGUGGUUCUGAAUGGAAGGGCCAUCGCUCAACGGAUAAAAGGUACUCCGGGGAUAACAGGCUGAUACCGCCCAAGAGUUCAUAUCGACGGCGGUGUUUGGCACCUCGAUGUCGGCUCAUCACAUCCUGGGGCUGAAGUAGGUCCCAAGGGUAUGGCUGUUCGCCAUUUAAAGUGGUACGCGAGCUGGGUUUAGAACGUCGUGAGACAGUUCGGUCCCUAUCUGCCGUGGGCGCUGGAGAACUGAGGGGGGCUGCUCCUAGUACGAGAGGACCGGAGUGGACGCAUCACUGGUGUUCGGGUUGUCAUGCCAAUGGCACUGCCCGGUAGCUAAAUGCGGAAGAGAUAAGUGCUGAAAGCAUCUAAGCACGAAACUUGCCCCGAGAUGAGUUCU